RNAcentral lists this ribosomal RNA (327 nucleotides) under uncultured eukaryote. RNAcentral describes it as "partial 18S ribosomal RNA". It matches the Rfam family "Eukaryotic small subunit ribosomal RNA", at positions 1470 to 1796 of the family's 1831-position model. The record is from RNAcentral.
CCCUUAGAUGUUCUGGGCCGCACGCGCGCUACACUGAUUCAUGCAACAAGUUUUGUCCUUGGCUGAUAGGCCUGGGUAAUCUUUGAACGUGAAUCGUGAUGGGGAUAGAUGAUUGCAAUUAUUCAUCUUCAACGAGGAAUUCCUAGUAAACGCAAGUCAUCAGCUUGCAUUGAUUAUGUCCCUGCCCUUUGUACACACCGCCCGUCGCACCUACCGAUUGAAUGGUCCGGUGAAAUCUUCGGAUCUGAGAGAUGUCUGAUUAAUUUCGGACGCCUUUUGGAAAAGUUGUUUAAACCUUACCAUUUAGAGGAAGGUGAAGUCGUAACA